UGGGGAAUAUUGCACAAUGGGCGCAAGCCUGAUGCAGCCAUUCCGCGUGUGUGAAGAAGGCCUUCGGGUUGUAAAGCACUUUCAGCGGGGAGGAAGGCGAUAAGGUUAAUAACCUCAUCGAUUGACGUUACCCGCAGAAGAAGCACCGGCUAACUCCGUGCCAGCAGCCGCGGUAAUACGGAGGGUGCAAGCGUUAAUCGGAAUUACUGGGCGUAAAGCGCACGCAGGCGGUCUGUCAAGUCGGAUGUGAAAUCCCCGGGCUCAACCUGGGAACUGCAUUCGAAACUGGCAGGCUAGAGUCUUGUAGAGGGGGGUAGAAUUCCAGGUGUAGCGGUGAAAUGCGUAGAGAUCUGGAGGAAUACCGGUGGCGAAGGCGGCCCCCUGGACAAAGACUGACGCUCAGGUGCGAAAGCGUGGGGAGCAAACAGG
Molecule: ribosomal RNA, 429 nt
Filed under: Chloroflexota bacterium
Lineage: Bacteria; Bacillati; Chloroflexota
Description: Chloroflexi bacterium partial 16S ribosomal RNA
Rfam family: Bacterial small subunit ribosomal RNA
Source: RNAcentral